CUCAUUUGUUGUAUCACAACAUAUUUCAAAAAUAAUCUGUGAGCUAUUUCUUAUGGAAAACAAAGGGGUUGGCAGCAGCAACAGCAACAAGAAGAUGAAAAUUUCUCCUUAUUCCGAUGAAAACCCUAACCCCAAUAGCCUUCCUCCUUCUCUUCCAACUCGGUUUGAUUUUCUUCCCUAUUUCUCCUUUUUGUGCAAUAAUAUGUGGGAGUGGAGAUCCCCGAAGAUUCCAAUACUCACGAUGAUUCGAAUCAUCAACUUAUAAUUAUCUCGUUUCUUUUUUCUUUUACUAACUAUAAUAUCUUGAGUUUUGAAGGUGGAUCUGUGGCUGAAGAUCAAGGUUACAAUGUUGAAUUGAUGUGUGGAAUAAUGAAACCUUUGUUGAGAAAAUUGGUACAAGUGGAAGUGGAGAAUGCCAUUCAAACUCACUUUCCCACUCCUCUACAAACAUUAAGGAAAGAGAUAGGAGAAGAAGAGAUUAAGGAGGAUGGAAUAGAGAAAUUCAAAUUAGUAUUUUGGAAUGAACCAGCCUCCAUCAUUUUCACCAACAACGAAAUAAAUGCUGAAAAUGCUCGGCUUCAGUUCUUCCUUCUCGACGGCGAUCACGACUGCUCUCCCGGCCAACAACAACAUCAUCCUUUGUAUCCAAGAGAUGGCAAAAGACCUUUAAUAGUUGGUGAUGAUCUGAAUCUCAUUUUGAAAAAUGGAGUUGCUUCCGUUCACUCUUUGUCCAUCACUGAUAAUUCUAGUUGGAUCAAAUCUAAGAAGUUUCGAUUGGGAGUCGAGAUUAAAGAUGACAAAAUUCUAGCCAUGUUUUCACACAUUCGCGUAGCAGUUUCUCAACCUUUAGAGUCUUAGAUAACCGAGGUGAAGUGUACAAGAAGCAUCAUCCUCCGAGUAGCGAAGAUGAAGUAUGGCGAUUGGAAGGGAUCAGAAAAGAUGGCACAUAUCACAAAAAUUUAUCUUCUGAAGGCAUAAAAAAUGUGGGUGACUUCUUUAAGGCAUACCAAGAAAAGGGUCCUACCACUUUUAAAAAGUUGCUUGGCAACAAAGUCCCAAAGAAACUAUGGGAGAUGAUGGUUGCUAAUGCUAAGGAGUGUGUCAAUCUUCCCAAUUACCAACAAACUUCAAAGGAGAAGCACUCACACCAAACACCGAGGACUUCCAUAAAAAAAACAGAGAAGAAAAAAAGACAAUUUCGAGGAGUUUGAGCAAAGUUAGCAAAAAAAUAAAAUUAAAUUAAAAAAAUUAAAAAAACAUUAAAAAAAAAAAAAAACAUUAAUGUAUGUUAUUGAAUAGUUGAGCUGGUUUUUAUUCCUAAUUUCCUUCUCUCCUUUUUAUAUUAUGUUAUGGAAUUCUUCUGUUAGUGGAGAAAAUAAUUAGGUGUGUAUUUUUGUAAGGGUUUCUCACCUCUCUAUGUAUCUUCUUGGUAAAAUAAAACAGGCAGGAUGUCUGGCUUUGUUUUAAGUGUAGUUUUCUAUUACCUUUUGUUUUUGUUUUGUAACA
This is a non-coding RNA of Benincasa hispida (wax gourd), 1506 nucleotides long. NCBI's taxonomy places the organism in Eukaryota, Viridiplantae, Streptophyta, Magnoliopsida, Cucurbitales, Cucurbitaceae. The record is from RefSeq and is a predicted model, not a curated record.